AUGUGGUCUUCGAGUCAGUGCGACGCCCAUGUGGCUGUCCUGUAUCAGAGCCACCUUGACCAACCGUGGGAGCCAGAAUCUUGGUGUGGGGCUGACGGCCAUGCCACCUGUGGUUAUCUUGGUGUCGCUGACUGUCAGGACGCCUAUUUCUGCUUCCUUCUGGAUGAACAAGGGAGAUGGACGUGUCAGUAG
Molecule: ribosomal RNA, 192 nt
Filed under: Triticum aestivum (bread wheat)
Lineage: Eukaryota; Viridiplantae; Streptophyta; Magnoliopsida; Poales; Poaceae
Description: partial small subunit ribosomal RNA
Source: RNAcentral